This 462-nucleotide ribosomal RNA is filed under the name uncultured bacterium. RNAcentral describes it as "partial 16S ribosomal RNA". It matches the Rfam family "Bacterial small subunit ribosomal RNA", at positions 28 to 507 of the family's 1533-position model. The record is from RNAcentral.
GACGAACGCUGGCGGCGUGCUUAACACAUGCAAGUCGAGCGGUAAGGCCUUUCGGGGUCCACGAGCGGCUAACGGGUGAGUAACACGUGGGUGAUCUGCCCUGCACUUCGGGAUAAGCCUGGGACACUGGGUCUAAUACCGGAUAUGACCUCCUAUCGCUUGGUGGGUGGGUGAAAGAUUUAUCGGUGCAGGAUGGGCCCGCGGUUUAUCGGCUUGUUGGUGUGGUAAUGGCUUACCAAGGAGAGGACGGGUAGCCGACCUGAGAGGGUGACCGGCCACACUGGGACUGAGACACGGCCCAGACUCCUACGGGAGGCAGCAGUGGGGAAUAUUGCACAAUGGGCGAAAGCCUGAUGCAGCGACGCCGCGUGAGGGAUGACGGCCUUCGGGUUGUAAACCUCUUUCAGCAGGGACGAAGCGCAAGUGACGGUACCUGCAGAAGAAGCACCGGCUAACUACGUG